CUUUGGGGUUCCUGGUUCCAGGACUUGACUCUUGGAUGGCAUUUCGUGACCUGCCCUGGACCAAAGAGGUGCCCACUACCCUGAAGGAAUUGCAGAAUGAACAAGAAUUUCCCAACCAACUAUCUGCUGCUUUCAAGAGUCUCACCUGCCACAAAAUGACUCACAUAAACUUAAGGAAACUUGUUUUGAACUAUUUAUGGCCUUUAAUAAAUAAGUAACAUAUACUCCUGUGAUCAAGAUUUGGAGCAUGUUUGUUUCUCUCUGCCUGUUCCUCUAGAAUUUGAAAACUAACUGUAAUUGUGUCUCUGUACUACGUGACACUCCCAUUGGAUGCAUCCUCCAAUCUGGAAAGAGUUAAUUUCCUAAACCUUAAACUGGUUGGCUUAGUAUUGGGCUCAGGGGAAGGGAACCCAACAGUCAUGAAACUGGAGCCUCUGAUGAUUGUCCCUUCUGCUGGGAACCCUUAGAUAGGCCUCCGAGGGAGAUCUGACUGCCGUUUCCCCAGGACAGCGCCACCUAUCAACAGGAAACAGUGACAACAGUGAAUAGCAGAAGGAAGAAUAAUACAAUUUUUAAAAAGGAGACUCUAGAGAUGUCACAAA
This is a long non-coding RNA of Homo sapiens (human), 602 nucleotides long. RefSeq lists it as uncharacterized. The transcript has 5 exons. NCBI's taxonomy places the organism in Eukaryota, Metazoa, Chordata, Mammalia, Primates, Hominidae. The record is from RefSeq and is a predicted model, not a curated record.